CAGUAGCCACGGUAAUACGGAGGGUGCAAGCGUUAAUCGGAAUUACUGGGCGUAAAGCGUGCGUAGGCGGUUCGUUAAGUCUGUUGUGAAAGCCCCGGGCUCAACCUGGGAAUGGCAAUGGAUACUGGCGAGCUAGAGUGUGUCAGAGGAUGGUGGAAUUCCCGGUGUAGCGGUGAAAUGCGUAGAGAUCGAGAGGAACAUCAGUGGCGAAGGCGGCCAUCUGGGACAACACUGACGCUGAGGCACGAAAGCGUGGGGAGCAAACAGGAUUAGAUACCCCUGUAGUCCCUGUCUUUUAUAC
RNAcentral lists this ribosomal RNA (301 nucleotides) under uncultured bacterium. RNAcentral describes it as "partial 16S ribosomal RNA". It matches the Rfam family "Bacterial small subunit ribosomal RNA", at positions 509 to 809 of the family's 1533-position model. The record is from RNAcentral.